Pongo pygmaeus (Bornean orangutan) is the source of this 744-nucleotide long non-coding RNA. RefSeq lists it as uncharacterized. The record is from RefSeq and is a predicted model, not a curated record. The transcript has 2 exons. NCBI's taxonomy places the organism in Eukaryota, Metazoa, Chordata, Mammalia, Primates, Hominidae.
AGGCGAUUCCUGGUGGCCUGGGAAUAGCCUCUAUUUAUCUUCACUCUGCCAGCUGUGGUUUCAGGGUUCAAGGGACCUGGGGGGUUUCAGACCCUGAUGGGGAACCAGGCACAGGUCCUGUCCCUCCACGUCCUGAUGCUUAAUACAUACCCACAACAGUCCCACAUAACCAAGCAUCAGAAACACCAAAGGGAUCUGCUGCCAUCUUAUGAACCUAUUUCACUGCCGUGUUGAAAGCCUUCCCAACCACCAGCUUCUUCCUUGGUAGCAGAAGACACAGCAGGAGGAGAAGACAUUUCCGUCCAAAAGCCAAAUGCAGCAAAACACCCUGAAAAGAGAAGGAAAGCUUAAAUGUGAAGCCCUUUUCACCAACUGGCUUACAGCACACACAACAGAAAAGGCUUUGUUUACAACCAAAUAUGCUCAAAGAACAACUCUUUGGUUAUUUCCCCCUGCAACUGGGGCCCAGCACAGUACAAAAUGCAACUCAAUGAUUCUGAGCACAGACACACAAACAAACGUGGCUCGCUGCCCCCUCUGCAAAUUCCAUGGGCUCAAGACCAUGGCGGUGAUGUGGGUUUGUCCACAUUCAAACAGUGGCGCAUUCUCACCAGCACAUGAAGAAAGCUAUGAACAAAUGACCAAGCAGAAACUCAAAUUUAAAGACUACAUAUCCAAGCCUACUUCUAACCCAAUGUGCAAUGAAGAGAGAAAUAAAUAAAAUCUUCAAAUCCCUCAUUCAAA